Molecule: transfer RNA, 54 nt
Filed under: Heligmosomoides polygyrus
Lineage: Eukaryota; Metazoa; Nematoda; Chromadorea; Rhabditida; Heligmosomidae
Description: tRNA-Arg
Source: RNAcentral
AAAUGUUAAAUAGAUAUUCUAUAUUUGAUUACGGUUCAAGGUGAUAUACAUUUU